CAGAGCAAGACUUCAUCUCAAAAAAAAAAAAAAAGAAAAAGGAAAAAAAAAAAGGCCAGGUGCAGUGGCUCACGCCUGUAAUCCCAGCACUUUAAGAGGCCGAGGUGGGCGGAUCACCUGAGGUCAGGAGUUCGAGAUCAGCCUGGCCAAAAUGAGAAACCCCAUCUUCAGUAAAAAUACAAAAUUAGCUGGGCGUGGAGGCGGGCGCCUAUAAUCCCAGCUACGCAGGAGGCUGAGGCAGGAGAAUCGCUUGAACCUGGGAGGCAGAGGUUGCGGUAAGUCAAGAUUGUGCCACUGUACUCCAGC
This 306-nucleotide long non-coding RNA is filed under the name Homo sapiens (human). RNAcentral describes it as "non-protein coding lnc-SKA2-8:1". The record is from RNAcentral. Lineage: Eukaryota; Metazoa; Chordata; Mammalia; Primates; Hominidae.